This 513-nucleotide small RNA is filed under the name Histoplasma ohiense. RNAcentral describes it as "hypothetical lncRNA". Lineage: Eukaryota; Fungi; Ascomycota; Eurotiomycetes; Onygenales; Ajellomycetaceae. The record is from RNAcentral.
ACAAUAUGGUUGGAGUCCCGACAAUUCAGUAACUUCCAACGGACAGAAUACCCCAGUUCUACAAAGGAAUGUAUUGUUGCGAAGAGGAAUUCUUCAUGCCUCUGUUGCAAACCUGCUGUUUCCUCCAUAGUCACAACCCUGGGCUUCGUCGCCUCCAGUAAUUCGCGCGUGCAAAAGAUACAUGCUUCAUUAUCUUCAUCCAUGGCAGCUGCAACUGUUUUUGCAGGUGAAAAUGUCUGGCAAGGAGGGGAAAAGUGCAAAAUAUCAACCAUUAUUUCAGUGUGGCUGCUAGCAAGGAAAUCUGCCACAUCGGAUGUAUAUCCAAUUGCAGUCUCAAAAUUCAGCCGAAAUGAGUCCAUGGCUGAUACUGAAUGAUCAAAUCCCCAAUUCAGGCGAAGGCCUGCUUGCAAUGCGCCUCUGGAAACCCCACCCGCACCACAAAAGCCAUCACCGAAUGUAUACUGCCGGAUUAUUUUUGAAGUCCCGGCUAGAAUUGUUGGAGUGUUUGUCGAA